Molecule: microRNA precursor, 83 nt
Filed under: Bombyx mori (domestic silkworm)
Lineage: Eukaryota; Metazoa; Arthropoda; Insecta; Lepidoptera; Bombycidae
Description: mir-2807 microRNA precursor family
Rfam family: mir-2807 microRNA precursor family
Source: Rfam by way of RNAcentral
UUAAAAAAAAAUUGUAUGUGGAGUUGGAACGUUCGCCUACGUUUGCCGCUAGGGGCGCUGUUUCAACUGCAUACUUUGAGUUA